UACGGAGGGUGCAAGCGUUAAUCGGAAUUACUGGGCGUAAAGCGCACGCAGGUGGCUGAGUCGGUCGAUUGUGAAAGCCCUGGGCUUAACCUGGGAAUUGCAGUCGAUACUACUUAGCUAGAGUAUGGGAGAGGGCAGUGGAAUUCCCGGUGUAGCGGUGAAAUGCGUAGAUAUCGGGAGGAACAUCAGUGGCGAAGGCGGCUUGCCAAUACGCGCUCGACGGUGAGGGAUGAAAGCUGGGGGAGCAAACCGG
Molecule: ribosomal RNA, 253 nt
Filed under: uncultured bacterium
Lineage: Bacteria
Description: partial 16S ribosomal RNA
Rfam family: Bacterial small subunit ribosomal RNA
Source: RNAcentral